AGAGUUUGAUCCUGGCUCAGGAUGAACGCUGGCGGCGUGCCUAAUACAUGCAAGUCGAACGAAGAAUGUAGCAAUACUUUCUUAGUGGCGAACGGGUGAGUAACGCGUUGGUGACCUGCCCCGAAGUGGGGGAUAACAAUUCGAAAGAGUUGCUAAUACCCCAUGUGAUCCUCCGGUCUAGAUGCCGGUUGAUUAAAGGAUUUAUUCGCUUCGGGAGGGGCCUGCGUCCCAUCAGCUAGUUGGUAGGGUAAUGGCCUACCAAGGCUAUGACGGGUAGGGGACCUGAGAGGGUGAUCCCCCACACUGACACUGAAACACGGGUCAGACACCUACGGGUGGCAGCAGUAGGGAAUAUUGGUAAUCUGGGAAACCGGGAACCAGCAACGCCGCGUGUGCGAUGAAGGCCUUCGGGUUGUAAAGCACUUUUUGAGGGGAUGAGGAAGGACAGUACCCUCAGAAUAAGCCUCGGCUAACUACGUGCCAGCAGCCGCGGUAACACGUAGGAGGCGAGCGUUAUUCGGAUUUACUGGGCGUAAAGCGCGUGCAGGCGGCUCGAUAAGUUGGAUGUGAAAGCUCCCGGCUUAACUGGGAGAGGUCGUUCAAUACUGUCGGGCUAGAGGAUGAGAGAGGGAGGUGGAAUUCCGAGUGUAGUGGUGGAAUGCGUAGAUAUUCGGAGGAACACCAGUGGCGAAAGCGGCCUCCUGGCUCAUAUCUGACGCUCAGACGCGAAAGCUAGGGUAGCAAACGGGAUUAGAGACCCCGGUAGUCCUAGCCGUAAACGAUGUAGAC
Molecule: ribosomal RNA, 789 nt
Filed under: uncultured bacterium
Lineage: Bacteria
Description: bacterial SSU rRNA
Rfam family: Bacterial small subunit ribosomal RNA
Source: RNAcentral